RNAcentral lists this long non-coding RNA (720 nucleotides) under Prunus persica (peach). Its description in RNAcentral is "long non-coding RNA (PPER_LNC005110)". Lineage: Eukaryota; Viridiplantae; Streptophyta; Magnoliopsida; Rosales; Rosaceae. The record is from RNAcentral.
GCGAUGGUGGCAGCAAGUCCAUGCUGCUGCACGACGAUUUCAGUUGGAGGACCACGAGUCGAAUUUUUGGUUCCAGCUAUCGUUCCUUGUGGCAGUAGCGCUGCUCCGACCGUGGAGCCAUGUGGUGACGCGACAACAUCGAUUUGUUGGGGGUUCACGACUGUGACGUCUUGAAAUGGUGGUGCCUCCACUUCGAUCGUGGGAUCGUGGGAUGCGUGUCUUUGGGCCAUUGCGGAUUGAGCCAUUGUGGCAGUCUUGCUUCUCGUGCAUUUGCUUCUGGCCAUGGUAGUUCUGGAGGCUUCAAUUAAACGAAAAGGGAAGGAAAUAAAUUUCUUUGUUUCAAGAGCACGAACUGAGUAUAACCCGUGCUCUCAAUGAAAGCACCAAAUGUUUGUGAAAAUAAUCUCUCGGGAGAAUAUUCACUUCUUGAUCCUUCACCUUUUGAACUUAUUUCUCUCUCUUCCUUGAUUCCUGUAAAAAAGAUAGGAAUAAAUAGACCACACCCGAGAGUGUUGGUAAAAGGCCCUCUGAUGCCUAAGUUUGUUCGAUUGAAUCUAGGAAAAACAAUAGCUAAAAAAGCGUACGGAGAUUUAUUUAUGGUGAGAACCAGGCUGCCGGAGCUAUGUGUGGUGGAACUUAGCCAUGUAUGAAAAUAUGUAGAGAGGAGAGCGAUGAGGGUGACAACAAUAGUGAUGCCAUCAGCUUGGGAGAGAGAGGGAG